Molecule: ribosomal RNA, 398 nt
Filed under: Triticum aestivum (bread wheat)
Lineage: Eukaryota; Viridiplantae; Streptophyta; Magnoliopsida; Poales; Poaceae
Description: partial small subunit ribosomal RNA
Source: RNAcentral
CAGAAGCUAAGCCGGAGUAGCCUUGGAGGGGCUCGGGAGAAACGAGUGGAUGUCCGAACUAUGGGGCUCUGGCUACAACGGGGACACUAGCUGAUGCAGCUGCUGCUGGGGAGGAACGGUCUCGUUAGUCUCUACAGCCUCGGGUCCUAGGUCUGCGGUGGAAACUGCUGCUGAUGGUGUUGGGGCUCCCACGGAUGAUGAUUCACCUCCUGCGGUUGCUGGUCCUCAUCAAUCCUCCGAGGGUCCGUCCUCCGGAACGGAAAAGCUAGCAUCUACGAAAACACGAUCGGAAGAAUUCCGUUUGAACAGAUUGAAUACAGACAUGAGUCUAUAACAACGAAGGCGACUGAGAACACAUAAGCUCGAAUACAUAAGCUCGGGGGCUCCGGGUACCGAAC